RNAcentral lists this ribosomal RNA (493 nucleotides) under uncultured bacterium. RNAcentral describes it as "partial 16S ribosomal RNA". It matches the Rfam family "Bacterial small subunit ribosomal RNA", at positions 29 to 523 of the family's 1533-position model. The record is from RNAcentral.
AUUGAACGCUGGCGGCAUGCUUUACACAUGCAAGUCGAACGGUAACAGGUUAAGCUGACGAGUGGCGAACGGGUGAGUAAUGCAUCGGAACGUGCCCGGUCGUGGGGGAUAACGCAGCGAAAGCUGCGCUAAUACCGCAUACGAUCUGAGGAUGAAAGCGGGGGACCGUAAGGCCUCGCGCGAUCGGGGCGGCCGAUGUCAGAUUAGGUAGUUGGUGGGGUAAAGGCUCACCAAGCCAACGAUCUGUAGCUGGUCUGAGAGGACGACCAGCCACACUGGGACUGAGACACGGCCCAGACUCCUACGGGAGGCAGCAGUGGGGAAUUUUGGACAAUGGGCGAAAGCCUGAUCCAGCAAUGCCGCGUGCAGGAAGAAGGCCUUCGGGUUGUAAACUGCUUUUGUACGGAGCGAAAAGGUCUCCUCUAAUACAGGGGGCUCAUGACGGUACCGUAAGAAUAAGCACCGGCUAACUACGUGCCAGCCGCCGCGGUAA